UGGGAUGAUCCCUCUCGUCUGCAUACCCUUUCUCACCUGCUGGUAGGCCUCGCGCUGCUGCUCACGCUGGCAGACGGGCAGUGUGGGCUGGGGGCCAACAUGGGUGGGACAGGGCCCCUUCACCUCCACACACUCUACCUGCUCCUCUCCUGGGCUGCUCGAGGCUCUUUGAGACACUUGUCCUCUGAGAGCCCAGGACACCCUCUCUCGGAGGUUGGCCCCACGGCUUUCCAGGACCAAGAGGCUCUGACAUUGCACGCAGGGCUCCAGGGGCAGCUGGCCUCAACCUGAGGUGGCCACCCCAUCAUCCCACAUUCAGAAGCCACAUGGGGUGAGGAGGCAAGUGGCCGAGCCUGCUGACACCCUGUGGAGAGAGGCCUGAACCCAUGGGACCCUGGGCUGAGCCCUAAAAGCCAGAGGGACCAACAGAAGAGCUGGAGAUCCUCUUCCCUGAUGAGAGCUACACCAAACACGAGAACCAGGAGCACCCCAGGAAGCCCCAGUGAGGAAGCCUGGGCGGGAGUGGCUGGGAAGCUGCACUUCCCCAGGCAUGGUAGGAUGUGGGUGGGGGCACAGGAGCCGUCAGCCUCCCAACAGUGCCUAUAAGUGUCAGUCCCGUGGCCUGUGAACACUCUAUCCACAGACCAACCUCUGCGGGUACCCCCACGGCAGCUGGGGUCCCUCUGGCUCAGGUCCCAGCCUCAUCACCUGGAUGUGUGAGGGCCCACCAGGGCCCAUAUGUGAAGGGGGACAAGGACCCCCGCCUUGCAGGGACAUUCUGAGAAUCUGUGUGUGAGACACUGGGCACAGGGCCACGGCCCAAUCCUUCUGGGCUCCUGUUUUCUUCUCCUCCUUCGUCCCGGCAGCCAACCUCAGCACCAAGGCUGCUCCUAAAAGCAGACUCCUCUCCCCACGCCCAGACCUAUCCUGCAGGCCCACAGUGUUCCUGAAGGCCUCCGAUCAAGAGCCCUGACUCUUGGUUAAUGAUGAAUUUUGCCUAGCAACAAUUGCCAAGCAACAGCUCUUCAGAAAGAGAUGUCAAGGUAUUAAACAGAUACUCCACGGCUGGGAUGAGGAAAGACAGGUCAGUGGGUGCUGGGCCAGGCCUGCAUGCAGGACAUCCUCUGUCCAGGCUGUGCUGGUGUUGGGGGCUCCAGUUGGUCCACAGACCUGCUGUGGGGCCUUGGGAAACUCAUGCUGCCCCCUGGACAUCAAACUGGACUCACAGCUGAGCUGUCUUCCAUGAAAGGAGGCAGGGAAGUCAAGAUGGGAACAAGGGCACGUGAUGCUUCUGGAGCCCUGAAAGGCUGUGGCCACGUAACGGAGAGCUCUGAUGGGUUUCCCUGAGUCGCAUCAGGGGACAGCUUGGCCCUGGCAUUACCUGUUUUUCUCUCCUUCAAACCCUUGGCCCUCUCAGUGCCUGUCCCUGUAUGGGACCCGCCACUCACCUGCUCAUUCAUCCACUCAUUCGGUGAGUGCUGACCACUGACUGUGCAUGUGUCAGUCACACUCAGGGAGGAGGAGCCAUGGACCUAAUGGAGCUAUGACAUGGUGUGUCAGAUGGUGGGGCUCAGUGAGCACAGGUAAAGCUAGGAGUGAACCACACACGGAGGCCCGCAGGCUGGCCAUCCCCUUAAGAGGUAGCCCCUGACCCUUGCCAUCAUUCCUGCCCACACUGACCUCUGUGCCACCAAAUGGCCAAAUGGCUUCCAUAAGAUCUAUACCUACAGCCAGGUGCAGGCACACUCACACUUAUGUGUGCAUAUACCUACCUAUCAUAUAUGUCAUCCAUGUAUCUGUCAUACAUUCCCCAACUAAAGGGCAUCCACCACUUCUCUGUACCUGCUGUCAAGUCCACACCCUCACUAUGGCCUUCAAGGCCUGCUCCCAGCCCUGUCCCUGGACACCAUCCCCCAUGUCUCCCCAGCCCAGGUACCAAGGGGAAAGGCACCCCCUCCCAAAGGCAACCUCUGGAGGUGUCUGCUGAGUGGGUACCAGGCUGGAACUGUCGCUAGAAGCCAAUACAUGUUUAGCAACACACUACAGAAGAGGGAGCCACGCUGAAGGAGGAAGGGGAGGGCCGAGGGGCUGCUUUAGGGGA
RNAcentral lists this long non-coding RNA (2101 nucleotides) under Homo sapiens (human). RNAcentral's name for it is "HSALNT0060081". Lineage: Eukaryota; Metazoa; Chordata; Mammalia; Primates; Hominidae. The record is from RNAcentral.